Macrobrachium nipponense is the source of this 1030-nucleotide long non-coding RNA. RefSeq lists it as uncharacterized. The transcript is spliced from 5 exons. The record is from RefSeq and is a predicted model, not a curated record. Lineage: Eukaryota; Metazoa; Arthropoda; Malacostraca; Decapoda; Palaemonidae.
GACUGGCAUGCACCUGUGACUUACAUAAACCAGACCUCUACAUAGCCUACAUGUCUUCAUUUUGCUGAAGACUGCCCAUCAUCCUAGCCUGUUAUCUGUGAUAAAGCACACUGAAGUUAGGUUUGGAAUGCAUCCUUAUCAUGAAUGCUCUACACCUCCACCUCCAUCUCCCACAACCUAGGUAACAGCUUUGAGACUCACUAAAAGUUGAGUCCCCUGAAUGAUGUAGGCUAUGGGGCCACAUAAGACUUUGUCCAUCCAGGGUUACAUUGAACGACAACUUUAAACUAAAAAACCAACAUUUUUCACACAACUCCAGGUUGUUACUAACAAAUUACUACAAGUGUCAUCAAGGGAUAACUACAAGUAGAAGCACCAUUUUUGGAUGGAAAAAACCCUUCAGGAAAGUAUACGUAUCACAUGUAACAUGUAGUGUAACAAAGUAUGAACAGUAAGGUUUUUACAUACGUACAUAACUUUUUUUUACAGGAAUUUCCAACCAAGUUUGAUUAUGUACAUACAUGUUAUAAACCACUGUACGUAUGGUUACUGUAUGUAACUUACUAAACAUACAUACAUGACUUAACUUUGAUACUUUUUUGGUACAUUCCAGAAAACCAGGACCCCCUCCAUGAUGCAGGCUAUGGGGCCACAUAAAACUUUGUCCAGGGUUACUACAUAACAUAGCACGACAACUGUAAACUAUGUACUACUGUACUAAAGAACCCCCUGAAUGAUGUAGGCUAUGGGGCCACAUAAGACUUUGUGCAUCCAGGGUUACAUAGCACGACAACUUUAAACUAAAGGUAAGGAAUUAAUUAACAUACAUUAACUAAGUUUUAUACAUGUUAUAUAUGUGAUAUUAAACCACUGUAUGGUGCAUAUUACUGUAUGUAACUUACUAUGCAUAGAGUACUUACUGACAUACUAAUUAUUUUUUGUACAUUCCAGAACCCCCUGAAUGAUGUAGGCUAUGGGGCCACAUAAGACUUUGUGCAUCCAGGGUUACAUAGCAUGACAACUUUAAACU